ACCAUCACCACUGCCAGAACUUCCAGAUUAAUGUUACCGACACCAUCACCACUGCCAGAACUUCCAGAUUAUUGUUACCGACACCAGCACCACUGCCAGAACUUCCAGAUUAUUGUUACCGACACCAUCACCACUGCCAGAACAUCCAGAUUAAUGUUACCAUCACCACUGCCAGAACAUCCAGAUUAAUGUUACCAGCACCAUCACCACUGCCAGAACAUCCAGAUUAAUG
Molecule: non-coding RNA, 232 nt
Organism: Pelobates cultripes (western spadefoot toad)
Lineage: Eukaryota; Metazoa; Chordata; Amphibia; Anura; Pelobatidae
Source: the annotation of a GenBank genome assembly